Molecule: ribosomal RNA, 424 nt
Filed under: Verrucomicrobiota bacterium
Lineage: Bacteria; Pseudomonadati; Verrucomicrobiota
Description: Verrucomicrobia bacterium partial 16S ribosomal RNA
Rfam family: Bacterial small subunit ribosomal RNA
Source: RNAcentral
UGAGGAAUAUUGGUCAAUGGACGCAAGUCUGAACCAGCCAAGUAGCGUGCAGGAUGACGGCCCUAUGGGUUGUAAACUGCUUUUAUAUGGGGAUAAAGUGGGGAACGUGUUCCCUUUUGCAGGUACCAUAUGAAUAAGGACCGGCUAAUUCCGUGCCAGCAGCCGCGGUAAUACGGAAGGUUCGGGCGUCAUCCGGAUUUAUUGGGUUUAAAGGGAGCGUAGGCCGUUUGGUAAGCGUGUUGCGAAAUGUAGGAGCUCAACUUCUAGAUUGCAGCGCGAACUGGUCGACUUGAGUAUGCAGGAAGUAGGCGGAAUUCAUGGUGUAGCGGUGAAAUGCUUAGAUAUCAUGACGAACUCCGAUUGCGCAGGCAGCUUACUGUAGCAUAACUGACGCUGAUGCUCGAAAGUGCGGGUAUCAAACAGG